RNAcentral lists this ribosomal RNA (478 nucleotides) under uncultured bacterium. RNAcentral describes it as "partial 16S ribosomal RNA". It matches the Rfam family "Bacterial small subunit ribosomal RNA", at positions 28 to 507 of the family's 1533-position model. The record is from RNAcentral.
GAUGAACGCUGGCGGCGUGCUUAACACAUGCAAGUCGAACGGGAAUUACUUUAUUGAAACUUCGGUCGAUUUAAUUUAAUUCUAGUGGCGGACGGGUGAGUAACGCGUGGGUAACCUGCCUUAUACAGGGGGAUAACAGUCAGAAAUGGCUGCUAAUACCGCAUAAGCGCACAGAGCUGCAUGGCUCGGUGUGAAAAGCUCCGGUGGUAUAAGAUGGACCCGCGUUGGAUUAGCUUGUUGGUGGGGUAACGGCCCACCAAGGCGACGAUCCAUAGCCGGCCUGAGAGGGUGAACGGCCACAUUGGGACUGAGACACGGCCCAGACUCCUACGGGAGGCAGCAGUGGGGAAUAUUGCACAAUGGGGGAAACCCUGAUGCAGCGACGCCGCGUGAAGGAAGAAGUAUCUCGGUAUGUAAACUUCUAUCAGCAGGGAAGAUAGUGACGGUACCUGACUAAGAAGCCCCGGCUAACUACGUG